Molecule: ribosomal RNA, 369 nt
Filed under: uncultured bacterium
Lineage: Bacteria
Description: bacterial SSU rRNA
Rfam family: Bacterial small subunit ribosomal RNA
Source: RNAcentral
ACGUAGGUGGCGAGCGUUAUCCGGAUUUAUUGGGUUUAAAGGGAGCGUAGGCCGGAGAUUAAGCGUGUUGUGAAAUGUAGACGCUCAACGUCUGCACUGCAGCGCGAACUGGUUUCCUUGAGUACGCACAAAGUGGGCGGAAUUCGUGGUGUAGCGGUGAAAUGCUUAGAUAUCACGAAGAACUCCGAUUGCGAAGGCAGCUCACUGGAGCGCAACUGACGCUGAAGCUCGAAAGUGCGGGUAUCGAACAGGAUUAGAUACCCUGGUAGUCCGCACGGUAAACGAUGGAUGCCCGCUGUUGGUCUGAAUAGGUCAGCGGCCAAGCGAAAGCAUUAAGCAUCCCACCUGGGGAGUACGCCGGCAACGGUG